This 665-nucleotide small RNA is filed under the name Pan troglodytes (chimpanzee). RNAcentral's name for it is "retained intron". The record is from RNAcentral. Lineage: Eukaryota; Metazoa; Chordata; Mammalia; Primates; Hominidae.
CUAGCUUUUCUCUUCUGUCAACCCCACACGCCUUUGGCACAAUGAAGUGGGUAACCUUUAUUUCCCUUCUUUUUCUCUUUAGCUCGGCUUAUUCCAGGGGUGUGUUUCGUCGAGAUGCACACAAGAGUGAGGUUGCUCAUCGGUUUAAAGAUUUGGGAGAAGAAAAUUUCAAAGCCUUGGUGCUGGUUGCCUUUGCUCAGUAUCUUCAGCAGUGUCCAUUUGAAGAUCAUGUAAAAUUAGUGAAUGAAGUAACUGAAUUUGCAAAAACAUGUGUUGCUGAUGAGUCAGCUGAAAAUUGUGACAAAUCACUUCAUACCCUUUUUGGAGACAAAUUAUGCACAGUUGCAACUCUUCGUGAAAAAUAUGGUGAAAUGGCUGACUGCUGUGCAAAACAAGAACCUGAGAGAAAUGAAUGCUUCUUGCAACACAAAGAUGACAACCCAAACCUCCCCCGAUUGGUGAGACCAGAGGUUGAUGUGAUGUGCACUGCUUUUCAUGACAAUGAAGGGACAUUUUUGAAAAAGUAAGUAAUCAGAUGUUUAUAGUUCAAAAUUAAAAAGUGUGGAGUAACUCCAUAGGCCAACACUCUAUAAAAAUUACCAUAACAAAAAUAUUUUCAACCUUAAGACUUGGAAGUUUUGUUAUGAUGAUUUUUUAAAGAAGUA